CCUUCGGGGUACUCGAGUGGCGAACGGGUGAGUAACNCNNNNNUGAUCUGCCCUGCACUUUGGGAUAAGCCUGGGAAACUGGGUCUAAUACCGAAUAGGACCACGCGCUUCAUGGUGUGUGGUGGAAAGCUUUUGCGGUGUGGGAUGGGCCCGCGGCCUAUCAGCUUGUUGGUGGGGUAAUGGCCUACCAAGGCGACGACGGGUAGCCGGCCUGAGAGGGUGACCGGCCACACUGGGACUGAGAUACGGCCCAGACUCCUACGGGAGGCAGCAGUGGGGAAUAUUGCACAAUGGGCGCAAGCCUGAUGCAGCGACGCCGCGUGAGGGAUGACGGCCUUCGGGUUGUAAACCUCUUUCAAUAGGGACGAAGCGCAAGUGACGGUACCUAUAGAAGAAGCACCGGCCAACUACGUGCCAGCAGCCGCGGUAAUACGUAGGGUGCGAGCGUUGUCCGGAAUUACUGGGCGUAAAGAGCUCGUAGGUGGUUUGUCGCGUUGUUCGUGAAAACUCACAGCUUAACUGUGGGCGUGCGGGCGAUACGGGCAGACUAGAGUACUGCAGGGGAGACUGGAAUUCCUGGUGUANCGGUGGAAUGCGCANAUAUCANGAGGAACACCGGUGGCGAAGGCGGGUCUCUGGGCAGUAACUGACGCUGANGAGCGAAAGCGUGGGGAGCGAACAGGAUUAGAUACCCUGGUAGUCCACGCCGUAAACGGUGGGUACUANGUGUGGGUUCCUUCCUUGGGAUCCGUGCCGUAGCUAACGCAUUANNUACCCCGCCUGGGGAGUACGGNCGCAAGGCUAAAACUCANAGGAAUUGACGGGGGCNCGCACAAGCGGCGGANCAUGUGGAUUAAUUCGAUGCAACGCGAANAACCUUANCUGGGUUUGACNUGCACAGGANGNCCGNNANANAUGUCGGUUCCCUUGUGGCCUGUGUGCNNNGGUGCAUGGCUGUCGUCAGCUCNUGUCGUGAGAUGUUGGG
This 985-nucleotide ribosomal RNA is filed under the name Mycolicibacterium mucogenicum. RNAcentral describes it as "partial 16S ribosomal RNA". It matches the Rfam family "Bacterial small subunit ribosomal RNA", at positions 77 to 1079 of the family's 1533-position model. The record is from RNAcentral. Lineage: Bacteria; Bacillati; Actinomycetota; Actinomycetes; Mycobacteriales; Mycobacteriaceae.